Molecule: non-coding RNA, 124 nt
Organism: Picea glauca (white spruce)
Lineage: Eukaryota; Viridiplantae; Streptophyta; Pinopsida; Pinales; Pinaceae
Source: Rfam
UCUUGUGUACAUUCCUACAAUCUUAUUGCACCAGCUCCCCUUAAAACUAUGUAGUUAAGUGUGCUUGGGCUAGAGUAGUUCUUGGAUGGGUGACCUCUGAUGAAUUACUAGUGUUUUACAUGCC